UACGAAGGGGGCUAGCGUUGCUCGGAAUCACUGGGCGUAAAGGGUGCGUAGGCGGGUCUUUAAGUCAGGGGUGAAAUCCUGGAGCUCAACUCCAGAACUGCCUUUGAUACUGAAGAUCUUGAGUUCGGGAGAGGUGAGUGGAACUGCGAGUGUAGAGGUGAAAUUCGUAGAUAUUCGCAAGAACACCAGUGGUGAAGGCGGCUCACUGGCCCGAUACUGACGCUGAGGCACGAAAGCGUGGGGAGCAAACAGG
This 253-nucleotide ribosomal RNA is filed under the name uncultured bacterium. Its description in RNAcentral is "partial 16S ribosomal RNA". It matches the Rfam family "Bacterial small subunit ribosomal RNA", at positions 524 to 776 of the family's 1533-position model. The record is from RNAcentral.